Bufo gargarizans (Asiatic toad) is the source of this 1395-nucleotide long non-coding RNA. RefSeq lists it as uncharacterized. The record is from RefSeq and is a predicted model, not a curated record. The transcript has 3 exons. Lineage: Eukaryota; Metazoa; Chordata; Amphibia; Anura; Bufonidae.
CACUAUAGGAAAAGGUGUUGGAUUCUCUGGUGGCCAGGACCGUGAAUAGGCACGCAUGCUCUGCAGCCCCCAUCCCAACCAAUGCUGCAGCGCAGAUACAAGAAGCCAUGGAAAAAUGAAUCAAGCCAGCAAAGGAGGCAAUAUGGACAAUCACAGUACAUUACAGAACCAUACUCCGUUAGGACUUCAAUCAAAAUAUGAACUUUAGUUUCCUGAUCUCUUCAUACAUAGCUGGAAGCUAGUAAAGGUCUUCUUUCCCCUCUUGAUUCAGCUCCACACACAUGGACAUAGCACACGAACACAAAACUGUGUAAUCUUAAAUCUGCACUAAGCAAGGUGUGUUCAUUAAACUACGGAGAAGCUGUAACAUAUGGCUUAAUGACUGAGAGCAUGAGCGCCACUGAAUCGCUCUGUGGAAACUAAGCCUAAUAUACUCAUCUGAUGUGACAGAUAAUGUGUGCUGUCUGAAAAAUGAAUAGGUUUUAAUAGUAAGUAAGGAUCUGAUCAACUGGAAAUUUGUGCUAAUAUGGAAGAUACUGUAGCUUCUUAAGGUUCUUCUCCGAGCAGCGGUAAGAAGGUUGUGUGCUCUGAGGUCUAGACACAGUUAUAUUAUAUCAUGUUCCAGGUCAGUUCAACCUUCAAUAAUUCUUGAUUGUGUUGAAUGUGUAUGACAGAGGUGUGGGAUAGUGUAGGAGGUAUAUGUCAUUUUAAAGGGGUUGUGGAGCUAGUACAUAUUGAUGACCUAUCCACAGGAGAGGUCAUCAAUAUCCAAUCAGUGGGGGUCCAACUCCUGGCACCUCUGCCGAUCAGCAGAAGAUGAGGCAGUGCUCAUUCGAGUGGUACUUCUUCUUCAAGAUUACACUGCGAGAAGUCUCGGCAGUGUACUUACAAGUGCUUGUUCCAUUCACUUGAAUGGGACAUGCGCUUGUAAUUACACUGAGCCGUCGCUGCAGGCAAGAUGACGCGCAGUGUAAUCUUGAAGAGGAAACAAAUCUGGUACGAGCACCACCUCCUCUUCAAACAGCGGUGCCGGGAGUCAGAGCCUAAACAAUUAGAUAUUUAUUUCCUCUACUGAGGAAAGAUCAUCAAUAUGUACUGGUUGCACAACCCAUUUAAUGAAGCUUCCCCCUCCUCCUCCAAUGUAUUGAGUUGUGUCAUAUAAUACGUAUGCUGUACUGCUGUUAGUGUGAAGCCAUUACAAUAUGGCGCUUGCACUUGGACGUUUACAUAGUUUGCAUGCCAGAGUUAGUAAAGCAAUGCACAAUGCGCAGAUGCCAAGUGUUAUCUCUUUUCUUGUUUUUGUAUUCUAGCCAAUGGAACAAUGCCACGAGCCUCAGGGUGGAUACCCCCUCUGAUGUACAUAUAUACUGCUUAACUUCCUGUAAUAAAUGAGAA